CACAGUUCAGAAGUCACUGUGCAAAAUUAAAUGAUGAAAGAGUUGAAGUCUCAGGGGAUGAAUUCUCUUUUCCAUUCUCCCAGCUAACCACCACUAAAGAUGACAAAUCUAAAAAUCUCAAACCACUCUAAAGGGUACGUGUCAAUACUAAAGCUGUGGGAAGCAAGAGAGCCGGAGUCACCUCACAAGAGACGGAAAGGGUUUAAAUCCCGGAGAACCUGAGGAACCUGAGGGUCCUAACGCCUUGGUCUCCUAGUCCGGCCCGCUGACAGCAGGUUAAUGACCGCCGCGCGUCCACUCCCGGGGCCUCCCCGUCCCCGAUCCUCCAGAUGAGAUGCCCAGUAUGAGACAUGGAACUCUAUAAAGGAUCAGCCGUGGUAUAGCCAUGGAGGAGAAGACAGACAGCGGGAUUGAACCUAGGUUGGGAAGGUUCAAGAGAAGGACAAGGACCAGAGGAAGAGAGGCCAAGCUAAGGAAAGGAGGAGGUGAUAGGAAGAUGAGGCCAAGGACAUGGGGGACUUGGACAGGUAUGGAGAGAGAUUAACAAAAACUUACUAUACAUGCUUCCAUUAUUAAUAAUAUCUUACAUUUUAAAGUACACUGUCAUUUUCAAAGCAUUUUUAAAAAUAGACUUUAUUUUUAGAGCAGUUUUAGGUUCACAGCAACACUGAGAAGAAAGUAGAGUUCUCAGAUAACCCCUGCUGCCACACAUGCACAACCUCCCCUACCAGAGUGGUACUUCCGUUGUAAUGGAUGAACUUACAUUAACUCAUCAUUAUCAUUCAAAGUCUGUAGUUUGCAUUAGGGUUCAUUCUUGUUGUUACAUAGUCUAUGGGCUUGGACAAAUGUAUAGUAACAUGUUUUCACUAUAAUAGUAUCAUGCAGAAUAGUUCCACUGCCCUGAAAUCCUCUGAGCUCCACCUGUUCAUCAGUCCCUUCCUCCCAACUCCUGGCAACCACUGAUCCUUUUACUAUCUGCAUAGAUUUGCCUUUUCCAGAUUAUUAUAUAUUUGGAAUCAUACAGUAUUUAACCUUUUCAGAUUGGCUCCUUUUACUUAGUGAAUAUGCAUUAGCCACCCCCCCCCCAAUCUUUUCAUGGCUUAAUAGCUCAUUUUUUUAUAGCAUUAAACAAUUUUCUAUUGUAUGUAUGUACCACAGUUUAUCCAUUCACCUACUGAAGGACAUCUCGGUUGCUUCCGAGUUUUGGCAUUUAUGAAUAAAGCUGUUAUAAACUCCAUGUUCAGAUUUUUGUAUGGACAGUUCAUUUGAACCUUCAUAGUCUGAAUAUAGAACAAGCGUUCUAAAUUAAAUCCUAAGAUGUCAAGUAUAGCACACUAAAUCAAGGCAUUUAUCUAAAUAUGACUAGUAGAGUUUAUCUUUUGAA
Long non-coding RNA from Canis lupus familiaris (dog), 1384 nucleotides. RefSeq lists it as uncharacterized. The record is from RefSeq and is a predicted model, not a curated record. The transcript is spliced from 3 exons. Lineage: Eukaryota; Metazoa; Chordata; Mammalia; Carnivora; Canidae.